RNAcentral lists this ribosomal RNA (372 nucleotides) under uncultured organism. Its description in RNAcentral is "partial 16S ribosomal RNA". It matches the Rfam family "Bacterial small subunit ribosomal RNA", at positions 527 to 896 of the family's 1533-position model. The record is from RNAcentral.
GUAGGUGGCAAGCGUUGUCCGGAAUUAUUGGGCGUAAAGCGCGCGCAGGCGGUUCUUUAAGUCUGAUGUGAAAGCCCACGGCUCAACCGUGGAGGGUCAUUGGAAACUGGAGAACUUGUGUACAGAAGAGGAAAGCGGAAUUCCACGUGUAGCGGUGAAAUGCGUAGAGAUGUGGAGGAACACCAGUGGCGAAGGCGGCUUUCUGGUCUGUAACUGACGCUGAGGCGCGAAAGCGUGGGGAGCAAACAGGGAUUAGAUACCCUGGUAGUCCACGCCGUAAACGAUGAGUGCUAAGUGUUAGGGGGUUUCCGCCCCCUUAGUGCUGCAGCUAACGCAUUAAGCACUCCGCCUGGGGAUACGGCCGCAAGGCUG